ACCACGGAGCUUGAUAGAUAUUUGGAGGAGAACCCAAUACCACGUUCUCAAGAAUUUGACAUUUUAAAGUGGUGGAUGGGUAAUGCAACCAAGUAUCCAAUUCUAGCCUGCAUAGCAAGGGAUCUGCUAGCCAUCCUAGCUUCUUCUGUAGCUGCAGAAUCUGCUUUGAGCACUAGUGAAAGAAUAAUUAGUGACUUCCAUAGCAGCUUAACUCCUGAGGCUGUAGAAGCACUGAUUUGCACCCAGGACUGGUACCGGGCAGAAGGUAAAUCAACAGAGUUUUCUAUGGCAUCCAUCAAUGACUUCAUAAUGGGCGAGAUGGUAACUGAACUGCAAUAAGGAUUCAUCUAGGAUACAAAAUGAUUGAUGCUGACGGUAAUAGUGACAGCCUGAGAUUGAUGAUGUUUAUCAAACAAAUAUUCAGAUCCAUGUGGUGCCUAUCAUCCGUUUUGAUCAUUUACUGAAACAAUAUGUGGUGUGUUGGAAGCUUGAACUCAGUAAUGUAAUGAUGUAUUUGACUACUGAGACUUUGAGCUCCGUUUGUACUUUGUAA
This is a long non-coding RNA of Panicum virgatum (switchgrass), 553 nucleotides long. RefSeq lists it as uncharacterized. The record is from RefSeq and is a predicted model, not a curated record. NCBI's taxonomy places the organism in Eukaryota, Viridiplantae, Streptophyta, Magnoliopsida, Poales, Poaceae. The transcript is spliced from 2 exons.